AGAGUUUGAUCAUGGCUCAGGAUGAACGCUAGCUACAGGCUUAACACAUGCAAGUCGAGGGGCAGCAUGUUGGUUGCUUGCAACCAAUGAUGGCGACCGGCGCACGGGUGAGUAACGCGUAUCCAACCUACCCUUGUCCAUCGGAUAACCCGUCGAAAGGCGGCCUAACACGAUAUGCGGUUCUCAGCAGGCAUCUAACGAGAACGAAAUGUGAAGGAGAGGGAUGGGGAUGCGUCUGAUUAGCUUGUUGGCGGGGUAACGGCCACCAAGGCGACGAUCAGUAGGGGUUCUGAGAGGAAGGUCCCCCANAUUGGAACUGAGACACGGUCAAACUCCUACGGGAGCA
Molecule: ribosomal RNA, 346 nt
Filed under: uncultured bacterium
Lineage: Bacteria
Description: bacterial SSU rRNA
Rfam family: Bacterial small subunit ribosomal RNA
Source: RNAcentral